RNAcentral lists this ribosomal RNA (440 nucleotides) under uncultured bacterium. RNAcentral's name for it is "partial 16S ribosomal RNA". It matches the Rfam family "Bacterial small subunit ribosomal RNA", at positions 338 to 795 of the family's 1533-position model. The record is from RNAcentral.
CCUACGGGAGGCAGCAGUGGGGAAUAUUGCACAAUGGGGGAAACCCUGAUGCAGCGACGCCGCGUGAAGGAAGAAGUAUUUCGGUAUGUAAACUUCUAUCAGCAGGGAAGAAAAUGACGGUACCUGACUAAGAAGCCCCGGCUAACUACGUGCCAGCAGCCGCGGUAAUACGUAGGGGGCAAGCGUUAUCCGGAUUUACUGGGUGUAAAGGGAGCGUAGGCGGUUUAGCAAGUCAGAAGUGAAAGCCCGGGGCUCAACUUCGGGACUGCUUUUGAAACUGUUGAACUAGAGUGCAGGAGAGGUAAGUGGAAUUCCUAGUGUAGCGGUGAAAUGCGUAGAUAUUAGGAGGAACACCAGUGGCGAAGGCGGCUUACUGGACUGUAAAUGACGCUGAGGCUCGAAAGCGUGGGGAGCAAACAGGAUUAGAUACCCCAGUAGUC